CCUAGAGAUAGAUUGGUGCCUUCGGGAACGUCUGACACAGGUGCUGCAUGGCUGCCGUCAGCUCGUGUCGUGAGAUGUUGGGCUAAGUCCCGUAACGAGCGCAACCCUUGUCCUUAGUUACCAGCACGUUAUGGUGGGCACUCUAAGGAGACUGCCGGUGACAAACCGGAGGAAGGUGGGGAUGACGUCAAGUCAUCAUGGCCCUUACGGCCUGGGCUACACACGUGCUACAAUGGUCGGUACAAAGGGUUGCCAAGCCGCGAGGUGGAGCUAAUCCCAUAAAACCGAUCGUAGUCCGGAUCGCAGUCUGCAACUCGACUGCGUGAAGUCGGAAUCGCUAGUAAUCGUGAAUCAGAAUGUCACGGUGAAUACGUUCCCGGGCCUU
Molecule: ribosomal RNA, 385 nt
Filed under: uncultured Pseudomonas sp.
Lineage: Bacteria; Pseudomonadati; Pseudomonadota; Gammaproteobacteria; Pseudomonadales; Pseudomonadaceae
Description: bacterial SSU rRNA
Rfam family: Bacterial small subunit ribosomal RNA
Source: RNAcentral